GGAGGAAGUCAGAGGCGCAGGCGGCGCGGAUGGAGGUGUCGCCGACGAUUGGAGGACGCGGACGGAGGGGCGGCACGGGCCGACGGCGUGGACAGAGGUACGGCGCAGCCGGCGCGGACGGAGGUGCCGCCGACGAUUGGAGGACGCGGACGGGUGGCGCAGACGGAGGGGCGGCACGGGCGGACGGCGUGGACGGAGGUACGGCGCUGGCGGCGCGAACGGAGGUGCCGCCGACGAUUGGAGGACGCGGACGGGCGGCGCAGACGGAGGGCACGCGGGCGGACGGCCGGCGUGGACGGAGGUGCGGCGCUGGCGGGCGGCGCGGACGAUGCUGGCGAGUUCGGCGAAUCGCGGCGGCGCGAGCGAUGACUGGGCGGCGCCAGCGCCCAGCGGUGGCAGAGGAGUCGGGAGAGUUUCUU
RNAcentral lists this long non-coding RNA (419 nucleotides) under Triticum aestivum (bread wheat). RNAcentral's name for it is "long non-coding RNA (TAES_LNC026944)". The record is from RNAcentral. Lineage: Eukaryota; Viridiplantae; Streptophyta; Magnoliopsida; Poales; Poaceae.